Molecule: ribosomal RNA, 460 nt
Filed under: uncultured bacterium
Lineage: Bacteria
Description: partial 16S ribosomal RNA
Rfam family: Bacterial small subunit ribosomal RNA
Source: RNAcentral
CCUACGAGAGGCAGCAGUGAGGAAUAUUGGUCAAUGGGCGCGAGCCUGAACCAGCCAAGUAGCGUGAAGGAUGACUGCCCUACGGGUUGUAAACUUCUGUUAUAAAGGAAUAAAGUGAGGCACGUGUGCCUUUUUGUAGGUACUUUAUGAAUAAGGAUCGGCUCAAUCCGUGACAGCAGCCGAGGUAAUACGGAGGAUCCGAGCGUUAUACGGAUUGAUUGUGUUUAAAGGGAGCGUAGAUGGGUUGUUAAGUCAGGUGUGAAAGUUGUCGGCUAAACCGUAAAAUUGCAAUUGAUACUGGCAGCCUUGAGGACAGUUGAGGUAGGCGGAAUUCGUGGUGUAGCGGUGAUAUGCUUAGAUAUCACGAAGAACUCCGAUUGCGAAGGCAGCCUACUAAACUGCCACUGACAUUGAUGCUCGAAAGUGUGGGUAUCAAACAGGAUUAGAUACCCUUGUAGUC